RNAcentral lists this ribosomal RNA (244 nucleotides) under uncultured Gardnerella sp. Its description in RNAcentral is "partial 16S ribosomal RNA". It matches the Rfam family "Bacterial small subunit ribosomal RNA", at positions 111 to 355 of the family's 1533-position model. Lineage: Bacteria; Bacillati; Actinomycetota; Actinomycetes; Bifidobacteriales; Bifidobacteriaceae. The record is from RNAcentral.
UAAUGCGUGACCAACCUGCCCCAUGCUCCAGAAUAGCUCUUGGAAACGGGUGGUAAUGCUGGAUGCUCCAACUUGACGCAUGUCUUGUUGGGAAAGUGUUUAGUGGCAUGGGAUGGGGUCGCGUCCUAUCAGCUUGUAGGCGGGGUAAUGGCCCACCUAGGCUUCGACGGGUAGCCGGCCUGAGAGGGCGGACGGCCACAUUGGGACUGAGAUACGGCCCAGACUCCUACAGGAGGCAGCAGCA